ACCCUUAUAGAUCAAUGGUCGAGCGUUGGCUUUGGAGGCCACAGGUCGGUGGUUCAAAUCCACUCGGGCGCA
Transfer RNA from Phytophthora infestans T30-4, 72 nucleotides. It matches the Rfam family "tRNA". From Rfam's summary of the family: Transfer RNA (tRNA) molecules are approximately 80 nucleotides in length. Their secondary structure includes four short double-helical elements and three loops (D, anti-codon, and T loops). Further hydrogen bonds mediate the characteristic L-shaped molecular structure. tRNAs have two regions of fundamental functional importance: the anti-codon, which is responsible for specific mRNA codon recognition, and the 3' end, to which the tRNAs corresponding amino acid is attached (by aminoacyl-tRNA synthetases). tRNAs cope with the degeneracy of the genetic code in two manners: having more than one tRNA (with a specific anti-codon) for a particular amino acid; and 'wobble' base-pairing, i.e. permitting non-standard base-pairing at the 3rd anti-codon position. Lineage: Eukaryota; Oomycota; Peronosporomycetes; Peronosporales; Peronosporaceae. The record is from Rfam.